This is a long non-coding RNA of Rosa rugosa (rugosa rose), 469 nucleotides long. RefSeq lists it as uncharacterized. NCBI's taxonomy places the organism in Eukaryota, Viridiplantae, Streptophyta, Magnoliopsida, Rosales, Rosaceae. The transcript is spliced from 3 exons. The record is from RefSeq and is a predicted model, not a curated record.
CCCGUAUCAAGGAUUCAAGGUCUCUCUCUCUCGGUGAUUUUACUCUGGAGCUGCGUUGAAGGAAGUGUAGAAGAAUAAGACCAGGGUCCAGGGCCAGUCGCGAAAAGCUCACCAAGCACCAAGUAGGCAGAUUAUGCGAAGGAGAAAUCCAGUGAACAAUCAGCAAAAAAGGCUGCUUGUAAGGCAAAAAAAUCGAAACUGGCUGAGCAGUCAGGGAUCGUGAUUGCCAAUUGAUGGAAGGCUUUGCUGAAUAGCUGCUGAAUGCUUAGAAGACUGGAGAAAAGAAAAACUGCUGAAUUGCUUCUUCCAAUUUGGACUUUCUAUCUAUUUCAAUUGCAACUUUGUAUUUGAAUUGGGACUUUGUACUUGAAUUGCAGCUUUGUAUUUGAAUUGGGACUUUGUAAGUCUGUAUUUGAAUUGGGACUUUGUAUUUGAAUUGGGACUGUGUGUUGAAUUGGGACUUUGUAUU